RNAcentral lists this ribosomal RNA (1554 nucleotides) under Enterobacter cloacae. RNAcentral describes it as "bacterial SSU rRNA". It matches the Rfam family "Bacterial small subunit ribosomal RNA". Lineage: Bacteria; Pseudomonadati; Pseudomonadota; Gammaproteobacteria; Enterobacterales; Enterobacteriaceae. The record is from RNAcentral. RNAcentral also lists the same sequence under 1 other name.
ACUUAAAUUGAAGAGUUUGAUCAUGGCUCAGAUUGAACGCUGGCGGCAGGCCUAACACAUGCAAGUCGAACGGUAGCACAGAGAGCUUGCUCUCGGGUGACGAGUGGCGGACGGGUGAGUAAUGUCUGGGAAACUGCCUGAUGGAGGGGGAUAACUACUGGAAACGGUAGCUAAUACCGCAUAACGUCGCAAGACCAAAGAGGGGGACCUUCGGGCCUCUUGCCAUCAGAUGUGCCCAGAUGGGAUUAGCUAGUAGGUGGGGUAACGGCUCACCUAGGCGACGAUCCCUAGCUGGUCUGAGAGGAUGACCAGCCACACUGGAACUGAGACACGGUCCAGACUCCUACGGGAGGCAGCAGUGGGGAAUAUUGCACAAUGGGCGCAAGCCUGAUGCAGCCAUGCCGCGUGUAUGAAGAAGGCCUUCGGGUUGUAAAGUACUUUCAGCGGGGAGGAAGGUGUUGUGGUUAAUAACCACAGCAAUUGACGUUACCCGCAGAAGAAGCACCGGCUAACUCCGUGCCAGCAGCCGCGGUAAUACGGAGGGUGCAAGCGUUAAUCGGAAUUACUGGGCGUAAAGCGCACGCAGGCGGUCUGUCAAGUCGGAUGUGAAAUCCCCGGGCUCAACCUGGGAACUGCAUUCGAAACUGGCAGGCUAGAGUCUUGUAGAGGGGGGUAGAAUUCCAGGUGUAGCGGUGAAAUGCGUAGAGAUCUGGAGGAAUACCGGUGGCGAAGGCGGCCCCCUGGACAAAGACUGACGCUCAGGUGCGAAAGCGUGGGGAGCAAACAGGAUUAGAUACCCUGGUAGUCCACGCCGUAAACGAUGUCGACUUGGAGGUUGUGCCCUUGAGGCGUGGCUUCCGGAGCUAACGCGUUAAGUCGACCGCCUGGGGAGUACGGCCGCAAGGUUAAAACUCAAAUGAAUUGACGGGGGCCCGCACAAGCGGUGGAGCAUGUGGUUUAAUUCGAUGCAACGCGAAGAACCUUACCUACUCUUGACAUCCAGAGAACUUUCCAGAGAUGGAUUGGUGCCUUCGGGAACUCUGAGACAGGUGCUGCAUGGCUGUCGUCAGCUCGUGUUGUGAAAUGUUGGGUUAAGUCCCGCAACGAGCGCAACCCUUAUCCUUUGUUGCCAGCGGUUAGGCCGGGAACUCAAAGGAGACUGCCAGUGAUAAACUGGAGGAAGGUGGGGAUGACGUCAAGUCAUCAUGGCCCUUACGAGUAGGGCUACACACGUGCUACAAUGGCGCAUACAAAGAGAAGCGACCUCGCGAGAGCAAGCGGACCUCAUAAAGUGCGUCGUAGUCCGGAUUGGAGUCUGCAACUCGACUCCAUGAAGUCGGAAUCGCUAGUAAUCGUAGAUCAGAAUGCUACGGUGAAUACGUUCCCGGGCCUUGUACACACCGCCCGUCACACCAUGGGAGUGGGUUGCAAAAGAAGUAGGUAGCUUAACCUUCGGGAGGGCGCUUACCACUUUGUGAUUCAUGACUGGGGUGAAGUCGUAACAAGGUAACCGUAGGGGAACCUGCGGUUGGAUCACCUCCUUACCUUAAAGAA